UUCCUACGGGGGGCUGCAGUAAGGAAUAUUGGGCAAUGGACGCAAGUCUGACCCAGCCAUGCCGCGUGAAGGAAGACGGCCCUAUGGGUUGUAAACUUCUUUUCUCAGGGGGUAAACUCCGGAACGUGUUCCGGACUGAAAGUACCUGAGGAAUAAGCAUCGGCUAACUCCGUGCCAGCAGCCGCGGUAAUACGGAGGAUGCGAGCGUUAUCCGGAUUCAUUGGGUUUAAAGGGUGCGCAGGCGGAUAUAUAAGUCGGAGGUGAAAUUCUGAUGCUCAACAUCAGCCGUGCCUUCGAUACUGUAUAUCUAGAGUCAAGUUGGAGUAGGCGGAAUGUGUUGUGUAGCGGUGAAAUGCUUAGAUAUAACACAGAACACCGAUCGCGAAGGCAGCUUACUAAACUUUGACUGACGCUCAUGCACGAAAGCGUGGGGAUCAAACAGGAUUAGAUACCCCAGUAGUC
RNAcentral lists this ribosomal RNA (462 nucleotides) under uncultured Bacteroidales bacterium. RNAcentral describes it as "bacterial SSU rRNA". It matches the Rfam family "Bacterial small subunit ribosomal RNA", at positions 336 to 795 of the family's 1533-position model. The record is from RNAcentral. Lineage: Bacteria; Pseudomonadati; Bacteroidota; Bacteroidia; Bacteroidales.